RNAcentral lists this ribosomal RNA (214 nucleotides) under uncultured bacterium. Its description in RNAcentral is "partial 16S ribosomal RNA". It matches the Rfam family "Bacterial small subunit ribosomal RNA", at positions 103 to 329 of the family's 1533-position model. The record is from RNAcentral.
CGGGUGCGUAACACGUGGGUAACCUGCCCUUUGGUGGGGAAUAACCUCGCGAAAGCGAGGCUAAUUCCGCAUACGAUCCGCAAGGAUGAAAGCCGCAAGGCGCCGAACGAGGGGCCCGCGCACGAUUAGUUAGUUGGUAGGGUAACGGCCUACCAAGACUAUGAUCGUUAGCUGGUCUGAGAGGAUGGCCAGCCACACUGGAACUGAGACACGG